UACGUAGGGCGCAAGCGUUGUCCGGAUUUACUGGGCGUAAAGAGCGCGCAGGCGGCUGGGCAAGUCCGAUGUGAAAUCUCCCGGCUCAACUGGGAAACUGCAUCGGAAACUGAUCGGCUUGAAGAUGGGAGAGGGUAGUGGAAUUCCCGGUGUAGUGGUGAAAUGCGUAGAUAUCGGGAGGAACACCAGUGGCGAAGGCGACUACCUGGCCCAUUCUUGACGCUGAGGCGCGAAAGCUAGGGGAGCGAACGGG
Molecule: ribosomal RNA, 253 nt
Filed under: uncultured bacterium
Lineage: Bacteria
Description: partial 16S ribosomal RNA
Rfam family: Bacterial small subunit ribosomal RNA
Source: RNAcentral